RNAcentral lists this ribosomal RNA (780 nucleotides) under Vreelandella aquamarina. RNAcentral describes it as "bacterial SSU rRNA". It matches the Rfam family "Bacterial small subunit ribosomal RNA", at positions 672 to 1453 of the family's 1533-position model. Lineage: Bacteria; Pseudomonadati; Pseudomonadota; Gammaproteobacteria; Oceanospirillales; Halomonadaceae. The record is from RNAcentral.
GGUGUAGCGGUGAAAUGCGUAGAGAUCGGGAGGAAUACCAGUGGCGAAGGCGGCCUUCUGGACUGACACUGACACUGAGGUGCGAAAGCGUGGGUAGCAAACAGGAUUAGAUACCCUGGUAGUCCACGCCGUAAACGAUGUCGACCAGCCGUUGGGUGCCUAGCGCACUUUGUGGCGAAGUUAACGCGAUAAGUCGACCGCCUGGGGAGUACGGCCGCAAGGUUAAAACUCAAAUGAAUUGACGGGGGCCCGCACAAGCGGUGGAGCAUGUGGUUUAAUUCGAUGCAACGCGAAGAACCUUACCUACUCUUGACAUCCUGCGAAUUUGGUAGAGAUACCUUAGUGCCUUCGGGAACGCAGAGACAGGUGCUGCAUGGCUGUCGUCAGCUCGUGUUGUGAAAUGUUGGGUUAAGUCCCGUAACGAGCGCAACCCUUGUCCUUAUUUGCCAGCGCGUAAUGGCGGGAACUCUAAGGAGACUGCCGGUGACAAACCGGAGGAAGGUGGGGACGACGUCAAGUCAUCAUGGCCCUUACGAGUAGGGCUACACACGUGCUACAAUGGUCGGUACAAAGGGUUGCCAACUCGCGAGAGUGAGCCAAUCCCGAAAAGCCGAUCUCAGUCCGGAUCGGAGUCUGCAACUCGACUCCGUGAAGUCGGAAUCGCUAGUAAUCGUGGAUCAGAAUGCCACGGUGAAUACGUUCCCGGGCCUUGUACACACCGCCCGUCACACCAUGGGAGUGGACUGCACCAGAAGUGGUUAGCCUAACGCAAGAGGGCGA